UGACCAGAUGGCCAUUUAUUUUGUCAUAUUACAGGGCAGAUAAAGAGUGGAUGCCCAACUGCUCCGAUGUAGGCCGCUCCGAAUCAAUUAUCCGAUAUAUGGCGUCACUUGAAGGGUUUGUCUAUAUUUAUCUUUAAGGCUACAACCUGGAGUUUCAUGGGGGUGUGAAGAUGAUACCUAAGUAAUCUAGGGCAUUGCUUUGGUAGGGGUUCACUUAUGUACAAGAAUGGCAUGUUCUUUCUUGUGUAAUAUAUUGUGGGUUUUUUUUUCGCUCAACACCAUCUGGACUAUGUACCACUGUAACCUGCUUUAUAGUUUGGACCUGAGCGUUGGAGCAUGGUGCUGGACAGGGAACAAGUCCCUAAGACCACUCUUUGGAAUUCCAAUAUACAUGGAGAUAGAAGUGACAUUUGAGGGCCAACAAAUAUGUUGUAUCGUGGAUGUCCCCCUUUACAUCAUUGUUUUAUGAAAUGCACUAACGCUCCCGGAAGGUUGUCCUGAGUAUAUUUGUAUAUUUGUUACAACAAGUAUGAUUUGGUUUGAAGUUAUCCAA
Triticum dicoccoides is the source of this 553-nucleotide long non-coding RNA. RefSeq lists it as uncharacterized. The record is from RefSeq and is a predicted model, not a curated record. NCBI's taxonomy places the organism in Eukaryota, Viridiplantae, Streptophyta, Magnoliopsida, Poales, Poaceae. The transcript is spliced from 2 exons.